CUGUCUCUGUGUCUCUCUCUCUGCGCAGUCGAUCGCUCGGUGCGUCUCCUGAAGGAUUGUGGGCCAGCGGCGCUCUCUGUCGAGCUCACCUAUCUGACACCAGAGGGGGGCGGGGCCAGCAGCCUCCUUCUCGCCUUCAUUCAAAUGAUUGACAGCAUGUUGGCCGGUGGGCGGGACUUUGAUCUGGCUCACGCUUACCUGGCGCUUUUCCUGAAGCUCCAUCUCCGCUCGUUAUCGCAGGAUGCCGUUGCCAUGGCUGCGUUGGUCCGCCUCUCCUCCCGGCUGGAGACGGGGUGGGCGGAGCUACGGACAUCAUUCGACCAAUCGCUGUGUCUGCUGUCGUACGCCAAGAGUGCACUGCUGUGACACACUGAAUAUGUAUUUGAUUAAAAGCUGUUUGAUGUUC
Molecule: long non-coding RNA, 406 nt
Organism: Micropterus salmoides (largemouth bass)
Lineage: Eukaryota; Metazoa; Chordata; Actinopteri; Centrarchiformes; Centrarchidae
Exons: 2
Source: RefSeq, a predicted model, not a curated record